RNAcentral lists this unclassified non-coding RNA (90 nucleotides) under Pseudomonas moraviensis. Lineage: Bacteria; Pseudomonadati; Pseudomonadota; Gammaproteobacteria; Pseudomonadales; Pseudomonadaceae. The record is from RNAcentral.
UGUAGGAGUGAGCCUGCUCGCGAUAGCGGUGUGUCAGUCAAUGAUGUAAGCGACUGACCCACCGCUAUCGCGAGCAGGCUCACUCCUACA